Molecule: long non-coding RNA, 14669 nt
Filed under: Eucalyptus grandis
Lineage: Eukaryota; Viridiplantae; Streptophyta; Magnoliopsida; Myrtales; Myrtaceae
Description: long non-coding RNA (EGRA_LNC006029)
Source: RNAcentral
ACAACCAUAUGAGAUAGCCCUCCAGAGGAAGUUUUUUCAUUGCAACUAGUGUCAACUAAAUUAGCAGAGCAGCAGCUUUCGAACAAACAGUGAUCUUCAAAUUUGGCUAAAGGCCCUUACAACAACUGAAAAUCGAUGACUAACACGGUACUGCUCCGGUACCAAGUGUUAUAUAUAGCUCAGGGCAACCCAGAGAUGGAAAACUGCAAAACCCAUCAAAGUUAUUCAUAUUCAAGCGCCACACUGGCGCUUGAUUACAGAGAUGAUUACAGCGACACACAACAGCUUCUUACAUGACACAUUAACGAAAGAAAACAAUCCAAAAUUGUAGUUUUUCACGAAAAUCUGAACAUCAUUGGACAGAGAACUGCUCAUUCCUGCAACCACAAAGAAGCUGGAUUCAACCAGAGAUCUCAAUGGCCUUGACCUCAGGCUUCUUCUCCUCCACCUUGGGAAUAGUGAUGGUGAGCACCCCGUUCUCCAUCGAGGCCUUCACCUGAUCCAUCUUCGCAUUCUCGGGCAGCCUGAACCUCCUCAUGAACUUCCCGCUGCUUCUCUCCACCCGGUGCCAGGUGUCGUUCUUGUCCUCCUUCUCCACGUUCCUCUCGCCGCUUAUCUGGACCACCCGAUCGUCUUCAAUUUCGACCUUGACUUCCUCCUUCUUGAGCCCGGGAAGAUCAGCCUUGAACACGUGGGCUUCCGGGGUCUCCUUCCAGUCGAUCCUCGUGUUGACAAAAGCGGUGUUCUCCCGGAAAGUUUGAGGGAAAUUAGAGGCGGAGAGGGAGGAGGAAGGGAAAGGGAAGUCCUUGAAGGGGUCCCAGAGGUCGAGCGAGAAGGGGUCGUAGACGUUGCUGCGACGGCCGCCGAACCAACUUGGGAUGAGCGACAUCGUACCUGCUUCUGCUGCAGCUAUUAGAUGAUUCAAAUACGUUUGGUGAUUGAUCGUCGGACUGGCGCUCUCUCUUGCUGAUGCUUUCGCUUUCUUGAAGCGUGGAGGAAGGAACGGACAUGCCCGGUAUUUAUAGGAGGGAAGAAGAGAUAAGGAUCGAACGAUGGAAGUUUCGGUUAAAGAUAGAGAGAGAUCUAGAAAGAUCUGGUCUCGCCAAGAUAGAUCUCUCUCGAAACUGGGCCAUCCUCUCGUGAAACUUCUGGUCUUGGAAGUGUUGAGAUGUCUCGAGACAGGCCCAUAACUAUUGUUUGACCGGCUUGGUUUGUUCGACCCGGGUCGCAAUUUCCCACGGAAGACCAUAGGGAAAGUUCAUCUCGUGGNNNNNNNNNNNNNNNNNNNNNNNNNNNNNNNNNNNNNNNNNNNNNNNNNNNNNNNNNNNNNNNNNNNNNNNNNNNNNNNNNNNNNNNNNNNNNNNNNNNNAAAAUAGAAUGAAGUAUUCAUAGAAAGAAUUGUGAAGCUGCAUAUAAUGAGGAAUUAUGCCAGCAUAACAGUCUGUCAUUUACUGAGUAAAUUAUGGAUUGAUUUCUAUUGUAUGCUGGACAUUUUGCGCUUCUCUCUCCUCCAUAUGCACAGAGAGAUUAUUAUAAAAUCCAACUAGCGUAACUUACAAGAUAAAAUAUUCGAUUAAUCUAAAAAAUGGGUCAAUUUGCAUAAACAUUUAGACAACGUUUGAUUGUUCGAAUUUCUAACAAUAAUAAAACUGUAUAUGAUAUGAUAUGAAAUCCAUGAGAUUUUGUUAUAUCUUAUCCAUUAUUUGGUGAUUACAAUAAUAAAGUCGGAUAUAUUUACAUCAUAUUAUAUAUAUUGCUCAGUAUAAAUUCUUAUAUGAAUCACAAAUUUUUACAAACGAUAAUGGUAAAAAUCUAUCACGACACUCUUAUCUACUUUAUUCUUAUUUUCAUUUUUAUUUUAUUUUCUUCUCUUUUUUUAAUUUAUUUCUUUUUUAGUUCUUUCUUCCCCUUCCAUUAUUUUCGAAUAAACUUUUAUUAUAUAGAAAAUUGUACUAAUAUAACUAAUAUGCUAAAACGCCUAAAAUAUGUAAUAAAUAUAUAUUUAUAUAUUGAAUUUAUAUUAUAAGAUAGAAUAAAUUCAUCUUGAGAAAUAAAAAUAAGAUUAAACUAAAAACAAUGUAUUUAGGAGUUUAUGUAUGUAUGUACGUGCUUCAAUAGCUUUAGUUGCGACUCAACCCCACCCUCCCUCUUUUAAAAUGUGUCUUUAUAGUUUGAAGUUAUGCUGGAGUUAUCUACGGACGUAACAAUCCAUAGUUUGAUGAAUAUACAUUGAUAACAUGCAAAAGAAAGUUCUAAUUUUUUUUCUUAAUUUAUUUAAUAAAUAUGAUUGUUCACAUUUUUGCUUAUUUUAACAAUAAAUAGAAUGGGCCUAAAUCAUAGAGUACUUAGUUUCAAUGCCAGAUGCAAUACGGUAAAAUUGUUUAUAAAAAACAUGAAAGUGUAGGUAUAAAGCAUCCAUUGGUCCCAAACGUAUUGGCUUAUUCAAAUUAAAAGUUAAAAAUGUUUCCGACGGAUUAUGUUUAGUUUAAGUUUAGAUUUAGGUUUCUCUCAUAAAUUUAUAUCGUACUUGAGUAGUGAUCUCGUGUCAAGAACNNNNNNNNNNNNNNNNNNNNNNNNNNNNNNNNNNNNNNNNNNNNNNNNNNNNNNNNNNNNNNNNNNNNNNNNNNNNNNNNNNNNNNNNNNNNNNNNNNNNUAUCACACAGCAAUUUGGUUUUUCUUUUUUCCCUUUGACAUCAAUUUUAAAAUUGGGAGAGAUUAGUGAAUUUUUUUUUAAACUUUGAAAAAGUUGAAAGUUCGCAAAUCAGUAUAUUAUAUGUGUGUUUGAUAUUUAAUUGUCUUCUUACAUGAAUUCUUAAAUAUGUAAUAUUUAUACUAUUUUAUUUUUAUGUACCACCUAAAAAAUUGCAAUUCAACUACCCAUCGUUUAUUUUUCCCUUGUGAUAAGGUCGUUUGUUUGUACCUUAAGGUUACGUUUGGUCGUCCGAAUUUCUAAUCGGAAUAGGACUGGAUAUGAUAGGAUAUGAAAUCAUGAGAUUUUUUUUAUAUCAUAUUCAUUAUUUGAUUAAUCGUAGCAUUAAAGUGGGAUAUAUUCAUAUCAUAUCAUGUACUUUUUUUUAUAUAUAAAUAGUAUAUCAUUAUGAACAUAAAUGUUUUUUUUUUUUUGGUAACUUAGGGAACACCGUAAGCCGACAGCUGGCGAGAAAACCUUGAGGACCGGUUGCAAGACCCACCACCACAGUACUCCAGAUAAGAAUCUCUAACGACGCCUCUGUGAUUCGAACUUUUCCCAUUCGUGAGGGGGAGAGAGCCCGAGCCAGUUGUGCCACUGAUGGCGAUGGUAUUAUGAACAUUAUGUUCAUAAACGGAAAUGGUGAAAAUCUCUCGUAACACUAUUUCUUAAUUUAUUUUUCCUCUUUUUUAUAUUAUUUUCUUUAUUAUUUCUUUUUCCCCUUUCAUCAUUCUUAAUAAAAUAGUAAACUGUACUAACAUACCUAAAAUACCAAAAAUAUAUAACAAUAAUAAAUAUUUAAUUUAUAGAUUGAAUGUUUAUUAUAAGAUAAAAUUAAAGUUGAAUAUAUAAAUUAAAAAAGAUUGAUUAAAAAUAAAUUUUUAUUUUUUAUUUUAAAUAUAUUAAAUUAGAAUUCAAAUAUUAUAUAUAUUGAAAUAUAAUUUCAAUUUUGUUAAUUUAAUAAGUUUAUUAUUCGAGAAAAAUAAUUUUCCUAUUAUGGACAUUAAAAUCUCAUCCAUCUUUGUCCCACCUCCUCCGUGAAGUAAUUUUAUUCUGCAUAUAUCCCAUUUAUAUCCGACUUUAUCACGACUGCCAAAUGCAGCCUCAAAUAUAAAAUUGAGGAAGUUAUUCUUUUCAACGAAAUUGAGAAUGCGAUGGCUCGUCACAUUAACUGAAGUAAAAGUAAUGAUGCCAUCUUUGCCAUUAAAUUUUCCCUUGAAAACUGAUUAACUUGAUUAUCUUCAAAGGGAAAUGAGUUUUGUUAUGUAUUGGAAAUGGCAGCAUGGAUUUUCACUCAGCCGAAAGAAAGAAAGGAAAGAAAAGCAAAAAAAGAGUAGCUAAGUGGGUUUCCCUCCCCAUAACUCCUACAAAAGAUGCAGACAGAAUAGCUUGAGCUAUGUACUGCACGAACAGUCCACAUUAAGAGAGGCGGUACAACUACACAGAGAUCAUGUUUUAAACGCAAUGACUCCAUCAUGACGUUCAGAAACUUGUCAUCGAGCUUAAUCCAUCCCUUUCGAGUGCUGGGACUUGUGCGUGGUUCUGGUUCGUACAAUUUUGCCCACUUCUGCUGAUGCAGUUUCUCUUUUCCUUUUUCUAGAAUGGACAAUAUGGCAAAACUAAUAGUACACUGAUCGUGAUGGCACUCGAGGGUACCUCCUCUUCAUGUACUCCUUUUCUUGCUUGAUGUUUUUUCCUUUUCGCCCUAUGAUUUUGUGAACAGAAAAGCACCGUAAAUUAGCUGUCAAGGCUUUAUAAUUCGCUCCCGAUGAUGAAGAACCCCGUGGCAUUCUCCCUGGGGAAAGAGCACAGAUAUCAUAUUCUCCGGUUGGCCCCAGUCCGGACUCCUGCGCCUUCGUGUUCUGGCUCUCAAUGCUUGUGUAGUGGAUCUUGCACGCCAAGGUCGCAAGACCCAGAAUCAGCAACAUCACAGCCAGCCUCAUGUGGAAAUGCCGUACCCUUUUCGUACCGCAGUGGCAUACAUGGCCGCGUUCUAAUCGCCUUUUCGUUCUUCAAUAGUCAGCAAUUUAGGAUUAGGUCGCGGUUUCCCACUGUUGAAAUUGAAUUCACGACCAUCAAUUACNNNNNNNNNNNNNNNNNNNNNNNNNNNNNNNNNNNNNNNNNNNNNNNNNNNNNNNNNNNNNNNNNNNNNNNNNNNNNNNNNNNNNNNNNNNNNNNNNNNNNNNNNNNNNNNNNNNNNNNNNNNNNNNNNNNNNNNNNNNNNNNNNNNNNNNNNNNNNNNNNNNNNNNNNNNNNNNNNNNNNNNNNNNNNNNNNNNNNNNNNNNNNNNNNNNNNNNNNNNNNNNNNNNNNNNNNNNNNNNNNNNNNNNNNNNNNNNNNNNNNNNNNNNNNNNNNNNNNNNNNNNNNNNNNNNNNNNNNNNNNNNNNNNNNNNNNNNNNNNNNNNNNNNNNNNNNNNNNNCUCAUCUAUUCCUGAUCGGGCAAACCACAGAUUAGAUACUGCAAAACUCGAAACAGAUUAAUAGAUUAUUCAUAUUCAACGCCCGCCUUAUGGCCCGAGAAAACUACAAUAUAACAUCAUAAACAGAGAUGACACUUGGAUUACACAGUCACACAAACACCUACAAUUUCUUAUAUGACUCAUUACAGAAAGAACUCCAAAAUUACACUUAUUCACCGGACGCAAACAUUACCGGACACAAGAGCGAUCAUUCUUGAAAUUACAAGAAGCUUAAUUCAACCAGAGAUCUCAAUAGCCUUGACCUCAGGCUUCUUCUCCUCCACCUUCGGAACACUGACGGUGAGCACUCCAUUCUCCAUCGAGGCCUUCACCUGAUCCAACCUCGCAUUCUCGGGCAACCUGAACCUCCUCAUGAACUUGCCGCUGCUUCUCUCCACCCGGUGCCACGUAUCGUUCUUGUCCUCCUUCUCCACGUUCCUCUCGCCGCUUAUCUGGAGCACCCGAUCGUCUUCGAUCUGCACCUUGACUUCCUCUUUCUUGAGCCCAGGGAGAUCCGCCUUGAACACAUGGGCUUCUGGGGUCUCCUUCCAGUCGAUCCUCGUGUUCACAAAAGCAGUGUUUUCCCGGAAAGUUUGAGGGAAAUUAGAGGCGACGAGGGAAGAGGAAGGCAAAGGGAAGUCCUUGAAGGGAUCCCAGAGGUCAAGGGAGAAGGGGUCGAAGACGUUGCUGCGACGGCCGCCGAACCAGCUUGGGAUGAGCGACAUUGUACCCUCCUGCUGCUGCUGCUGCUGCUGCUGCUGCUGCUGUUAGAUGAUUCAAGGACGUUUGGCGGUUGAUUGUUGUAAUGAUGCCCUCGCUUGCAAAUGCUCCUCUUUUCUUGAGUGACGAUGGAAGAUCGGAGAUGCCUGGUAUUUAAAGGUGAGAAGAACAGCUAAGGAUUGAAAAAUGGAAGUUUCUGUAAAAGAUUGCAGAAGCAUCUGGUCUCGCCCAGAGCUCUCUCGAAACCGGGCCUUGCUCUCCCGAAACUUCUGGUCUGUAAGUCUUGAGAUGUCUCGAGACAGGCCCAUAACUAUUGCUUGACCGGGUUGGACGAUGAUUAACCCAAUUAUCAGAAGCAACUGGAGCUAAAUUUCCAUGUCAGUCUCAUUAUAGUAUUUUAAAUAUGAAAUAAAAAAGAAUCAAAAAAUUAUAUGUGUGGUUGAUAUUUAAUUGACUUCCUUCAUAAAAUUAUUUAAUAUAAUAUAUAAAUAUAUAUAUAUAUAUAUAUAUAUAUCAAUAUCUAUUAAAGGUAUACAAAAGAAUCGGGAACCGUCCAAACUAUCCAGAACCGAAUUGGACCGGAUUGAAACUAGCGAUUCCCAAGGGAACUAAUAUAGUUUUUUGUUCUAAUUUAUUGGAAUUGGUGGAUAUCGAUUGGGUUCUCGAUUUUAAGUGUAGAAUCGUCCACCCGCCUACUCAAAUCGAAUCAGUAAUAUAGAAAUAUAUAUUUAAUUUUUAAGAAAAAUUUCUAACAAAUUAUUUAAGAAAAAUAAAAACCAUAAAAUCCCUAAUCUAAAGAUUAAUACCUAUUAACUAAGUGCUCAUCUCGUCUCACUCUCACCUCUUUUGAGUCGUCUUUCUAUCUCUCACUCAUGGCCUUGACUCUUAAUUUUUAAUAUAAGUCCAUUUUUUUUUUAUUCAUCUUGCAAUUAAGAAUAAGAAAGUUCUUUAUUUUUUGCUUAAAUUUGACUUGUUGGAAAAUGUUGCACCAACUGUGUGAAGCUUGUUUGGAACCCACCCGAGAACCAGAUCGGACCGAUGGUCCGAUUCUCUAUUUUAAUUUUUCAAAAUCGAUUUUUAGUGGGUAACUCCCGAUUCUAGGGGGAAAAUAAGAAAAUUAUCAAAAAAGUCUCAAACAUAUUGCAAUUAUAUUGAUUCAAUCACAAACUUAUUAUUUUGGUUAAUUGAAUCCUAAACUUUUUGCAAUUAUGUCAAUUCGAUUUUCUUUUACCAAAUUUGGUUGACUGGCUUUGAUGAACAAUUUUUUAAUUGUUUCUUCUUUCUUACCCUUUCUUUUUUUCUCUCUCUUUUUUUCUUCCUCCCCUUUCUUCCUCCUUUCGAUGACCUACCAAAUAGGAGCACCGAUUGAGGCACUACCUUUCUUCCUCCUUUCGAUGACCUACCAAAUAGGAGCACCGAUUGAGGCAACUAGCUAGUGGUGAACUCACCUCUCUGUUGUUGGGUGAGGGUGAGCUCGCCUAACUAGGCCCUCACUAGAUCUAGUGAGGGUGAGCUCGCCCAGUGACUAGGGAAGGCGAGCCUUGCUAGAUUUAGCGAGAGUGAGCCUCGCCAAUGGAUCGACAAGCUUGACCUCAUUGUCAUCAGGCUAGGGCAAACUCGCCCAACCACUGGGGAUCACCCUCUGGUCAAAGACGAGCUCGCCAAUGGAUCUGCUAGUGGAUUCUUGCUCUUCACUAGUUGGGGCUUUCGGAAAAAGUUGAAUGGAAUGGAUUAUCAGGACCCAUCCGAUUCCCCUCCCCUGAACUCCUGAUAACACCUGAUGGUUAUUAGAAUUGAACCCGCAGCCAUCAAUUACACGGUUUAGCUUAGUAGAGAAUGUGCGAGUGUUUGAAUGUGCGGUAAACGUCUGAGGUUGGUCGUGGGAUUUUGUAAACCACACCAAUCAAAUGCACCGUUGCUACAAUGAAAUCUGCAUUGCAUGACAUAUCCAACAACCAUAUGAGAUAGCCCUCCAGAGGAAGUUUGUUCAUUGCAACUAGUAUCAACUAAAUUAGAGCAGCAGCUUUCGAACAAACAGUGAUCUUCAGAUUUGGCUAAAGGCCAUUUCAGUAGAGACUCAACAACGACUGAAAAUCGAUGACUAACACGGUACUGCUCCGGUACCAUGUGUUAUAUAGCUCAAUCGAAUCCAGAACGGGGCAACCCAGAGAUGGAAUACUACAAAACCAUCAAAGUUAUUUAUAUUCAAGCGCCACACUAUGGCGCUUGAUUACAAAGAUGACACAUUGAUUACAGCGACACACAAGCUUCUUGCAUGACACAUUAACAAAAGAAAACAAUCCAAAAUUAUAGUUUUUCACGAAAAUCUGAACAUCAUUGGACAAAGAACCGCUCAUUCCUGCAACCACAAAGAAGCUGAAUUCAACCAGAGAUCUCAAUGGCCUUGACCUCAGGCUUCUUCUCCUCCACCUUGGGAACAGUGACGGUGAGUACCCCGUUCUCCAUCGAGGCCUUCACCUGAUCCAUCUUCGCAUUCUCGGGCAGCCUGAACCUCCUCAUGAACUUCCCGCUGCUUCUCUCCACCCGGUGCCAAGUGUCGUUCUUGUCCUCCUUCUCCACGUUCCUCUCGCCGCUUAUCUGGAGAACCCGAUCGUCUUCAAUUUCGACCUUGACUUCCUCCUUCUUGAGCCCGGGAAGAUCAGCCUUGAACACGUGGGCUUCCGGGGUCUCCUUCCAGUCGAUCCUCGUGUUGACAAAAGCGGUGUUCUCCCGGAAAGUUUGAGGGAAAUUAAAGGCGAAGAGGGAGGAGGAAGGGAAAGGGAAGUCCUUGAAGGGGUCCCAGAGGUCGAGAGAGAAGGGGUCGUAGACGUUGCUGCGACGGCCGCCGAACCAGCUUGGGAUGAGCGACAUCGUACCUGCUUCUGCUGCAGCUGUUAGAUGAUUCAAAGACGUUUGGUGAUUGAUCGUCGGACUGGCGCUCUCUCUUGCUGAUGCUUUCGUUUUCUUGAAGCGUGGAGGUAGGAACGGACAUGCCCGGUAUUUAUAGGAGGGAAGAAGAGAUAAGGAUCGAGCGAUGGAAGUUUCGGUUAAAGAUAGAGAGAGAUCUAGAAAGAUCUGGUCUCGCCAAGAUAGAUCUGUCUCGAAACUGGGCCAUCCUCUCGUGAAACUUCUGGUCUUGGAAGUGUGGAGAUGUCUCGAGACAGGCCCAUAACUAUUUUUUGACCGGCUUGGUUUGUUCGACCCGGGUCGCAAUUUCCCACGGAAGACCAUAGGGAAAGUUCAUCUCGUGGAAAAGAAGAUCAGGGGUUAGGAAACAGUCGUUUAGAAAAAGGAAUUUUCGCCGAUUUGGAAAUAUAAAAAUAGAAUGAAGUAUUCAUAGAAAGAAUUGUGAAGCUGUAUAUAAUGAGGAAUUAUGCCAGCAUAACGGUCCGUCAUUUACUGAGUAAAUUAUGGAUUGAUUUUUACUGUAUGCUGGACAUUUUGCGCUUCUCUCUCCUCCAUAUGCACAAAGAGAUUAUUAUAAAAUCCAACUAGCGUAACUUACAAGAUAAAAUACUUGAUUAAUCUAAAAAAUGGGUCAAAUUGCAUAAACAUUUAGAUUACGUUUGAUUGUUCGAAUUUCUAACAAUGAUAGAACUGGAUAUGAUAUGAUAUGAAAUCCAGAAAAUUUUGUUAUCUCUUAUCUACUGUUUGGUGAUUGUAAUAAUAAAGUCGGAUAUAUUUACAUCAUAUUAUAUAUAUUGCUCAGUAUAAAUUCUUAUAUGAAUCACAAAUUUUUACAAACGAAAAUGGUAAAAAUCUAUCGCGACACUCUUAUCUACUUUAUUCUUAUUUUCAUUUUUAUUUUAUUUGGUUCUCUUUUUUAAUUUAUUUCUUUUGUAGUUCUUUCUUCCCCUUCCAUUAUUUUCGAAUAAACUUUUAUUAUAUAAAAAAUUGUACUAAUAUAUCUAAAAUGCUAAAACGCCUAAAAUAUGUAAUAAAUAUAUAUUUAUAUAUUGAAUUUAUAUUAUAAGAUAGAAUUAAAUUCGUUUAUAGAAAUAAAAAUAAGAUUAAACUAAAAACAGUGUAUUUAGGAGUUUAUAUAUGUAUGUACGUGCUUCAAUAGCUUUAGUUGCGACUCAACCCCACCCUCCCUCUUUUAAAAUGUGUCUUUAUAGUUUGAAGUUAUGCUGGAGUUAUCUACGGACGUAACAAUCCAUAGUUUGAUGAAUAUACAUUGAUAACAUGCAAAAGAAAGUUCUAAUUUUUUUUCUUAAUUUAUUUAAUAAAUAUGAUUGUUCACAUUUUUGCUUAUUUUAACAAUAAAUAGAAUGGGCCUAAAUCAUAGAGUACUUAGUUUCAAUGGCAGACGGAAUACGGUAAAAUUGUUAAUAAAAAACAUGAAAGUGUAGGUAAUAAAGCAUCCAUUGGUCCCAAACGUACUGGCUUAUUCAAAUUAAAAGUUAAAAAUGGCUCCGACGGAUUAUGUUUAGUUUAAGUUUAGAUUCAAGUUUCUCUGAAUGAAUUUAUAUCGUACUGGAGUACUGAUCUCGUGUCAAGAACUGUUAUUUUACUCAUAUUCAUUCUACUCCCCAUAUCACACUGCAAUUUGGUUUUUCUUUUUUCCCUUUGACAUCAAUUUUAAAACUGGGAGAGAUUAGUGAAUUUUUUUUGAAACUUUGAAAAAGUUGAAAGUCCGCAAAUCAGUAUAUUACAUAUGUGUUUGAUAUUUAAUUGUCUUCUUACACGAAUUCUUAAAUAUGUAAUAUUUAUAAUAUUUUAUUUUUAUGUACCACCUAAAAAAUUUGCAGUUCAACUAGCCAUCGUUUAUUUUUCCCUUGUGAUAAGAUUGUUCGUUUGUAUCUUUAGGUUACAUUUGGUCGUCCUAAUUUCUAAUUUGAAUAGGACCGAAUAAGAUAGGAUAUGUUCCUUACCAAAAAAAUAAGAUAGGAUAUGAAAUCAUGAGAUUUUUUUAUAUCUUGUCCAUUGUUUGGUGAAUCGUAGUAUUAAAGUCAAGUAUAUUCACAUCAUAUCAUAUUAUAUAUAUAUAAACGGCAUAUCAUUAUAAAUGAACAUAAAUGUUCAUUAACAGAAAUAGUGAAAAUCUCUCGUAACACUAUUUCUUAAUUUAUUUUUAUUUUAUUUUUCCUCUUUUUUAUAUUAUUUUCUUUAUUAUUUCUUUUUCCCCUUUCAUCAUUCUUUAAUAAAAUUUAAUAAAAUAGUAAACUGUACUAACAUACCUAAAAUACAAAAAUACCAAAAAUAUAUAACAAUAAUAAAUAUUUAAUUUAUAAAUUGAAUGUUUAUUAUAAGAUAAAAUUAAAGUUGAAUAUAUAAAUUAAAAAAGAUUGAUUAAAAAUAGAAUUCACGACGAUCAAUUACACAUCAGAUGGACCUUUCUACUAUAAAUUAUACAAUGCACGACUUAGCCACCAACCAUAUGAGUGAAGUGGAACUUAAGAAUGGCGGAUCAGAUAGCCUCAAUGGAGAAGGCAAAUUUUGUUGAUUGCUAAUAGGGUGUCAACUCAAUCAGCCGACGACCGCAGCUUUCGAACCCACAUGAUAACCAAAUUUGGCCAAAACCCUCUCAGUUCAGACCCUCAACAUCAACCGUGAAUGAAUGACCAAGAGGGUACUGCUCCACACCACUUGUAAACAGCUCAAUCUAUUCCAGAUCAGGCAAAUCACAGAUGAGAUACUGCAAAAUUCGAGAAAGAUUAUUCAUAUUCAACGCCGCCUUAUGGCCCGAGAAAACUACAAUAUAACAUCAUAAACAGAGAUGACACUCUGAUUACACAGUCACAUAAACACCUACAAUUUCUUAUAUGACUCAUUACCGAAAGAACUCCGAAAUAACACUUGUUCACCGGACGCAAACAUUACCGGACACAAGAGCGAUCAUUCUUGAAAUUACAAGAAGCUUAAAUCAACCAGAGAUCUCAAUAGCCUUGACCUCAGGCUUCUUCUCCUCCACCUUCGGAACACUGACGGUGAGCACUCCAUUCUCCAUCGAGGCCUUCACCUGAUCCAACCUCGCAUUCUCGGGCAACCUGAACCUCCUCAUGAACUUGCCGCUGCUUCUCUCCACCCGGUGCCACGUAUCGUUCUUAUCCUCCUUCUCCACGUUCCUCUCGCCGCUUAUUUGGAUCACCCGAUCGUCUUCGAUCUCCACCUUGACUUCCUCUUUCUUGAGCCCAGGGAGAUCCGCCUUGAACACAUGGGCUUCUGGGGUCUCCUUCCAGUCGAUCCUCGUGUUCACAAAAGCAGUGUUUUCCCGGAAAGUUUGAGGGAAAUUAGAGGCGACGAGGGAAGAGGAAGGCAAAGUGAAGUCCUUGAAGGGAUCCCAGAGGUCAAGGGAGAAGGGGUCGAAGACGUUGCUGCGACGGCCGCCGAACCAGCUUGGGAUGAGCGACAUUGUACCCUCCUGCUGCUGCUGCUGCUGUUAGAUGAUUCAAGGACGUUUGGCGAUUGAUUGUUGUAAUGAUGCCCCGGCUUACAAAUGCUCCCCUUUUCUUGAGUGACGAAGGAUGAUUGGAGAUGCCUGGUAUUUAAAGAAGAGAAGAACAGCUAAGGAUCGAAAAAUGGAAGUUUCUGUAAAAGAUUGCAGAAGCAUCUGGUCUCGCCCAGAGCUCUCUCGAAACCGGGCCUUGCUCUCCCGAAACUUCUGGUCUGUAAGUCUGGAGAUGUCUCGAGACAGGCCCAUAACUAUUGCUUGACCGGGUUGGACGAUGAUUAACCCCAAUUAUCAGAAGCAACUGGAGCUAAAUUUCCAUGUAAGUCUCAUUAUAGUAUUUUAAUUAUGAAAUAAAAUAGAAUAAAAAAAUUAUAUGUGUGGUUGAUAUUUAAUUGACUUCAUUCAUAAAAUUCUUUAAUAUAAUAUAUAAACAAAUAUAUAAAUAUAUAUAUAUCAAUAUCUAUUAAAGGUAUACAAAAGAAUCGGGAACCGUCCAAACUAUCCAGAACCGAAUUGGACCGGAUUAAAACUAGCGAUUCCCAAGGGAACUAAUAUAGUUUUUUGUUCUAAUUUAUUGGAAUCGGUGGAUAUCGAUUGGGUUCUCGAUUUUAAGUGUAGAAUCGUCCACUCGCCUACUCAAAUCGAAUUAGUAAUAUAGAAAUAUAUAUUUAAUUUUUAAGAAAAAUUUCUGACAAAUUAUUUAAGAAAAAUAAAAACCAUAAAAUCCCUAAUCUAAAGAUUAAUACCUAUUAACUAAGUGCUCAUCUCGUCUCACUCUCACCUCUUUUGAGUCAUCUUUCUAUCUUUCACUCAUGUCCUUGACUCUUAAUUUUUAAUAUAAGUCCAAUUUUUUUUAUUGAUCUUGCAAUUAAGAAUAAGAAAGUUCUUUAUUUUUUUGCCUUACUUUGACUUGUUGGAAAAUGUUGCACCAAAUGUGUGAAGCUUGUUUGGAACCCACCCAAGAACUAGAUCGGACCAAUGGUCCAAUUCUCUAUUCUAAUUUUUCAAAAUCGAUUUUUAGUGGGUAACUCCCGAUUCUAGGGGGAAAAUGGGAAAAUUAUCCAAAAAGUCUCAAACAUAUUGCAAUUAUAUUGAUUCAAUCACAAACUUAUUAUUUUGGUCAAUUGAAUCAUAAACCUUUUAUAAUUAUGUCAAUUGGAUUUUCUUUUACCAAAUUUGGUUGAUUGGCUUCGAUGAACAAUUUUUUAAUCUUUUCUUCUUUCUUAUCCUUUCUUUUUUUUCUCUCUCUUUGUUUCUUCCUCCUCCUUCUUCCUCCUUCCGACGACCUGCCAAAUGGGACGCCGAUUGAGGCAACUAGCGUGGUGAACUCACCUCUCUGUCGUUGGGUGAGGGUGAGCUCGCCUAACUAGGCCCUCGCUGGAUCUAGUGAGGGUGAGCUCGCCCAGUGAUUAGGGAAGGCAAGCCUUGGUAGAUUUAGCAAGAGUGAGCCUCGCCAAUGGAUCGACAAGCUUGACCUCAUUGUCGUCAGGCUAGGACAAACUCGCCCAACCACUGGGGAGGGUGAUCUGGUCAAAGACGAGCUCGCCAAUGGAUCUGCUGGUGGAUUCUUGCUCUUCACUAGUUGGGGCUUUAGGAAAAAGUUGCAUGGGAUGGAUUAUCAGGACCCAUCCGAUUCCCCUCCCCUGAACUCCUGAUGGUUACUAGAAUUGAACCCGCCUCCAUCAAUUACACGGUUUAGCUUAGUAGAGAAUGUGCGAGUGUUUGAAUGUGCGGUAAACGUCUGAGGUUGGUCGUGGGAUUUUGUAAACCACACCAAUCAAAUGCACCGUUGCUACAAUGAAAUCUGCAUUGCAUGACAUAUCCAACAACCAUAUGAGAUAGCCCUCCAGAGGAAGUUUUUUCAUUGCAACUAGUGUCAACUAAAUUAGCAUAGCAGCAGCUUUCGAACAAACAGUGAUCUUCAUAUUUGGCUAAAGGCCCUUACAACAACUAAAAAUCGAUGACUAACACGGUACUGCUCCGGUACCAAGUGUUAUAUAUAGCUCAAUCGAAUCCAGAUCAGGCAACCCAGAGAUGGAAUACUGCAAAACCCAUCAAAGUUAUUCAUAUUCAAGCGCCACAUUGGCGCUUGAUUACAGAGAUGAUUACAACGGCACACGACACACAACAGCUUCUUAACGAAAGAAAACAAUCCAAAAUUGUAGUUUUUCACGAAAAUCUGAACAUUAUUGGACAGAGAACCGCUCAUUCCUGCAACCACAAAGAAGCUGGAUUCAACCAGAGAUCUCAAUGGCCUUGACCUCAGGCUUCCUCUCCUCCACCUUGGGAACAGUGACGGUGAGCACCCCGUUCUCCAUCGAGGCCUUCACCUGAUCCAUCUUCGCAUUCUCGGGCAGCCUGAACCUCCUCAUGAACUUCCCGCUGCUUCUCUCGACCCGGUGCCAG